This 294-nucleotide long non-coding RNA is filed under the name Apteryx rowi (Okarito brown kiwi). RNAcentral describes it as "lncRNA (ENSARWG00000002215.1)". Lineage: Eukaryota; Metazoa; Chordata; Aves; Apterygiformes; Apterygidae. The record is from RNAcentral.
AUAAUCUAAGCCAUCCGGACAAACCUGAGCAACGUAGCCCUAGUCUACGCUCCUGUGUCUCUUCAACUAUCUUCUCCACGUGAUGGCAUCUCUGCAGUCAUGCUGCUCCAUUACAUUACAUCAUGGGCUUGAACAGCUGCCUGAGGUACUGCUUCCUCUGGUGCGCAGGCUUCUCUUCUGGACACUUCAUCCUUACCCAUCCUCUGCUCCAGGAUGAGCCUGAAGGGAUUGUAGCAUCUCCUGGGAUGAGUCCAGGCUGGUGUGAUGGUGUUGGCUGUCUGUGAAUCUGCCCUA